Molecule: non-coding RNA, 80 nt
Filed under: Geobacteraceae bacterium
Lineage: Bacteria; Pseudomonadati; Thermodesulfobacteriota; Desulfuromonadia; Geobacterales; Geobacteraceae
Description: c-di-GMP sequence
Rfam family: c-di-GMP-I riboswitch aptamer
About the family: GEMM was predicted in a large-scale screen for bacterial structured RNA regulatory elements.
Source: RNAcentral
UCUCCGAACGGGCAAAACCAGAGUAAUCUGGCGACGCAAAGCUACGGGUCCUAACCAAAAAGGAUAGCCGGGUUGCCGAA